Long non-coding RNA from Brienomyrus brachyistius, 988 nucleotides. RefSeq lists it as uncharacterized. The transcript has 2 exons. The record is from RefSeq and is a predicted model, not a curated record. Lineage: Eukaryota; Metazoa; Chordata; Actinopteri; Osteoglossiformes; Mormyridae.
AGCGCUGGUUUUCUUUCGUGAGUUUCGCGCGGGCCCCUUGAAAGUGCAAACCUCCACCACACUCAUUUAUCCAUUAGGAUGGGCUUGGAGGGUGCUAAGGAGACCGAUUCACAAAGCAGGGGUCCCCAUACUUGAAACAACGUGCUCGGAUUCUCAAACAUUGAGGGGGAGAAACACUUGGGACGGUUAAAUAAACCUUUCCGAGGCGCACGGUUACUAUUUUAGAUAGAAGUCGUUAUAUUUGCUUUUUCGUGAGGAUCGCGUGAGAAAAGUUUGAUGGAGAAGACUUUCAGAUUAGAGCCAUUGUAAGAUAAGAUGAUCAUCUCAUGAGCGUGAAGGAACAAAAUUCUGCAGAGAUGGGAUCAGCAUCAGGAUUUUUAAAAGCACAACAACAAAGAUUGCCUCUCUUCUGUCAGAGAACUGUCAUCUGGAAAUUCAGCAAGGCACUAAAUCACACCGUAAGGAGUUAUAGAGGCAAUUUAGCCUUUCUCAAACACAGCUCACUCACAGCCAAGAGCUCAGUUAGUCCCAAGCUUAAUCAAGUGCAAGUAGUGAAAAUCAUUCUGCUAUUUCACUGGGUCGGGUUGCUUCAGCAGCUGUCCUCCUAACCCCCUUUGUUCUCCAGAACUAUAAUAGGUUUCCUGGCUCCCCCCUCUGCCCCCCAUCUCAUUCCGAAUGUAGACUCUGCAUUUAAACAUUCCAAAAUUAAGGCAAAUAAUUGACAGUCAUUCCUGGAGACCUUUAAUUUUCCAUAUUACACAGACUAGGCUCACGUGUCCUUUAAAAUAUUGGCAAACAUUAUGUUUCUCUGGAUACCAACAUUAUCACUGGGCAUUUCUGCAAAGCAGGAAGUAGAAAUGUUGAUUCACACAUUUAAUUGAAAUUACAGUAAAAAACAACUUCUUUAAGGCCUUUAUUUGCUUAAUUGAAAUUUGUUGUUCAGGGGAUCGAUAAAGCAGAUGUAUUAAACUGUUCUUCAAUUUCUUAA